AAAUCCUAGAUUUUUGUUUACCUAAAUUGGCUCAAACCCUAAACACUAAAAUGUCUAAACCCUAAACCCUAAGGCAAUUUUCUAGAAAUUUAAGGAAAUGACAAAAAUGCCCCUAAGUGUAUAAUUGAGGCUAAAUUGUAGGUUUUGAAAAUAGGUGAAGUUGUUGGCCAACUCCAACCACUCUUUGUGACUCAAAUAUGCCAGCAACAAGCAACAUCUCAGCUCAUACAUGCAUUAUAUUUGUCUAUAAAUAGAUUUAAGGAGAGAGAAAAUCAUUUUUGUGCACUAAAAUUGUCCAACACUCAAUCAAGAAUUUCUCCCACUAGAACCAACGAAAAUAUAUAGUAAAUCAGUCCCUUUAUCAAGCCCCACAUCUACCAUAAUCCAAUCACAAACAACUUGGAGAGCAAAAAAUCAAAAAUCAAGGCA
RNAcentral lists this long non-coding RNA (429 nucleotides) under Panax ginseng (ginseng). RNAcentral's name for it is "long non-coding RNA (PGIN_LNC000141)". The record is from RNAcentral. Lineage: Eukaryota; Viridiplantae; Streptophyta; Magnoliopsida; Apiales; Araliaceae.